Molecule: microRNA precursor, 204 nt
Filed under: Oryza barthii
Lineage: Eukaryota; Viridiplantae; Streptophyta; Magnoliopsida; Poales; Poaceae
Description: MIR812 microRNA precursor family
Rfam family: MIR812 microRNA precursor family
Source: Rfam by way of RNAcentral
AAUAAGUGCAGCCAUAGUUUUCCGCGCCCAACUUUGACCAUUCGUCUUAUUUGAAAUUUUUUAAAAAAAAUUAAAAACAUAAGUCACGAGUAAAGUACUAUUCAUGUUUUAUCAUCUUAUAACAACAAAAAUGCUAAUUAUAAAAGAAUUUCGAAUAAGACGAACGAUCAAAGUUGGACGCGAAAACUCAUGGCUGCACUUAUU